Molecule: ribosomal RNA, 253 nt
Filed under: uncultured bacterium
Lineage: Bacteria
Description: partial 16S ribosomal RNA
Rfam family: Bacterial small subunit ribosomal RNA
Source: RNAcentral
UACGGAGGGAGCUAGCGUUGUUCGGAAUUACUGGGCGUAAAGCGCGCGUAGGCGGCUUGUCGCGUCGUUCGUGAAAACCUGUGGCUCAACUACAGGCUUGCGGUCGAUACGGGCAGGCUGGAGUUCGGUAGGGGAGACUGGAAUUCCUGGUGUAGCGGUGAAAUGCGCAGAUAUCUGGAGGAACACCGGUGGCGAAGGCGGCGUCCUGGACCAACACUGACACUGAGGAGCGAAAGCCAGGGGAGCAAACGGG